RNAcentral lists this long non-coding RNA (540 nucleotides) under Olea europaea (common olive). RNAcentral's name for it is "long non-coding RNA (OEUR_LNC002182)". The record is from RNAcentral. Lineage: Eukaryota; Viridiplantae; Streptophyta; Magnoliopsida; Lamiales; Oleaceae.
UUGUUUUCAUGACUUCAUUUAACCUACAAACACAACGUUAAAAUCACAUAAUAUAUCGUUAAUAACUGAUAAAAAUUAGCUAAAUAUGAAGCUGAAAUGAUAUUCAUGUAGACAUGUAGUGAGUGAAAUAUCAUUCAUUAUGGUCUCCACGCUAUGGGGAAACUUUUCGUCUAGUUUGUGUUCUUGAAUUCAUUGAUGAAGAAUAAGUUAGAUUUGUAUAUAAAUAAAUUUUAUUACUAAUGAAUGGCUUUUUAAAUAAUUUUUGCAGAUGUCAUUAGAAUACAAACUGUCUCCAAACCAAUGAUUUUCUGCUACUAUUACUCAAUUUGUAAAUCAUCAAUAUCUUAAAGAUUUUGUGAAACUUGUAGAUGCAGAUCAACAAGCUUCUUUGAUCUAUAGUAUUUUUUAUGAAUUUAUUUAUGGAUCUAUCUACAAAGCAGAAGAAGAACGAUUUAGUAGUAAGUUAGUACAUGAGUUUAUAAUGAGACUCGUUAAUUGUGGUAAAAAUAAUGAAGUUUGGGUACGUUUAGAUAAUCAUGU